RNAcentral lists this ribosomal RNA (253 nucleotides) under uncultured bacterium. RNAcentral's name for it is "partial 16S ribosomal RNA". It matches the Rfam family "Bacterial small subunit ribosomal RNA", at positions 524 to 776 of the family's 1533-position model. The record is from RNAcentral.
UACGGAGGGGGCUAGCGUUGUUCGGAAUUACUGGGCGUAAAGCGCACGUAGGCGGCUUAGUAAGUCAGUGGUGAAAGACUGUGGCUUAACCAUGGAAUUGCCAUUGAUACUGCUGAGCUUGAAUCAGGUUGAGGUGGGCGGAAUGUGUCAUGUAGCGGUGAAAUGCUUAGAUAUGACACAGAACACCGAUUGCGAAGGCAGCUCACUAAACUGUAACUGACGCUGAGGCACGAAAGCGUGGGGAGCAAACAGG